AAUUUAAUAUUUAAUUAUCUAAUACGAAAAUUUUUCUCAUUGUAGCUUGGAAAAAAAAAGAAAAACAAAACAUUGUUUAUCGAAUAAAGCAGAGAAACUAUAUCUAAUGGGCAAAAGUCUGAAAGUUUUCAGAUUUCAACCGAUGUAACCAUGACUUUGUAAAUGGGAAAAUCUUGUAUACACAGGCAAAAGAGACAGUGAUCCAAUCUUUGAUGAAAUAAAUAUCUGCCACGUACAUUUCAUAUCUCGAAUUGCGAUAAAGAUUCUCAUUAACAAUGAUGAUAAAUAUUACAGAACGCUUUGAGAAACUUGGUUGUUCGAGAGAGACGAGAUGGUCAUCCAUGGAAGAACGAAGAGAGUUAAUUGGCUGAAUCGAAUUAAGAGUCAGCCGAUAUUUUCAUCGCUGCAAUUCUCUAAUUAGCCGCGGACGAAUUGACCAAUUGUUUCCACUAGUUUGCACGUCCGCCUCUCGUUAACGACGAGUCAUCGGCAAAAGAGAGCACCAUACGAUUUUAUAAAAAAUCUCAUCAUUCCAUUUCAAUAAAAUUGUUUGGAUAGAUUCAUUGUUUUGUAUUCUCAUCUUAUAUACUGUAAAAAUUUUUUUUUGUUACAGAAAAAAUGAUGAAAGAAAGGAUUAAAUUUAAAAUUUUUACAUAGAAGUCUUGAUGCUAUUUUUGAUAAUAAUCUGUUAAUUAUUUAAGAUAGAAUUUACCAUACUGAUAGAGAUGAGAAUUUGUUGCUUUUCAAUUUGCUCACGUGAGAAAUAAAAAUUCUAGAUUUGUUUGUUAAAUAUUGAAAUAGAUAAGCAUGAUAGUGAAUGUGUGCAAUUUUAAUCAAACAAAGUCUAAUCGCUAUACGAUUAUGCAAUAAGUCAAUAAGGCGCGAUGAACGAGCUUAUAGAAAUUUAUGAAGUAAAAUGUACAAUUGGACACGUUCCAGAAAACGUGAAAGCAGGAAAUCACAUAUCAAUAAUAGUGAAAAAACUAUUAUGGAACAAUAGAAUUUCCUCUAAAGGAAAGAAGAUUAUUACAAUCUAUCAAUAAUAAUAACAAAAUUCUAAUAUUCCACAAUCUAAGUUCCUUAACCUUCGAAGGAAAAGAAUAUUUGCAAAACAAAGAAAAAAUUUUUCCUCGCAUCAUGUGGAAAUCAUUUUUCAAAGGAACGAUUUUAUGCACCGAAGAAAAUAUCUGUCACUAGCAACGACCUUAUCAGUCAACUGCUUAUCAUCGACCUCACGUAGUUGAGGACAGGUUUAUGACUUGACUGCUGGAAUCGCGAACAAGUGUAUCUCCGUUACCUCAAACGGUUCCUCUUUUCUUAAUACCUCUUUUCGACGUAGACACUUUCUUGUUUUGAGAAAACUAAGACAAAGCAGAAUAUUUGCAAAACAUAUGCGAAAAGAGACACGAUUUUCCGAACGUGAUAUAACUAUAUAUUGUUUUAUAAUCGCGAAAGAAGAUUCGAGACACGUGUGAAGACAAACAACACUGAUUCAACUUCAAAGAAAUUUCUUUAACGUCGACACGAUGUCGAAUUGACAG
Long non-coding RNA from Apis laboriosa (Himalayan honeybee), 1541 nucleotides. RefSeq lists it as uncharacterized. The record is from RefSeq and is a predicted model, not a curated record. The transcript is spliced from 3 exons. Lineage: Eukaryota; Metazoa; Arthropoda; Insecta; Hymenoptera; Apidae.